AGCGAACGCUGGCGGCAGGCCUAACACAUGCAAGUCGAACGAACCUUUCGGGGUUAGUGGCGGACGGGUGAGUAACACGUGGGAACGUGCCUUUAGGCUCGGAAUAACUCAGGGAAACUUGUGCUAAUACCGAAUGUGUCCCUCGGGGGAAAGAUUAAUCGCCGUUAGAGCGGCCCGCGUCUGCUUAGCUAGUUGGUUGAGGUAAUGGCUCACCAAGGCGACGAUCAGUAGCUGGUAUGAGAGGAUGAUCAGCCACAUUGGGACUGAGACACGGCCCAAACUCCUACGGGAGGCAGCAGUGGGGAAUCUUGCGCAAUGGGCGAAAGCCUGACGCAGCCAUGCCGCGUGAAUGAUGAAGGUCUGAGGGUUGUAAAAUUCUUUCACCGGGGACGAUAAUGACGGUACCCGGAGAAGAAGCCCCGGCUAACUUCGUG
RNAcentral lists this ribosomal RNA (434 nucleotides) under uncultured bacterium. Its description in RNAcentral is "partial 16S ribosomal RNA". It matches the Rfam family "Bacterial small subunit ribosomal RNA", at positions 29 to 507 of the family's 1533-position model. The record is from RNAcentral.